AAGCAGUUACCUUACCUAUGGAAAUCUGGCUCUCAGUUCAGAGAAGAUGGGCAGGUGGUAGCAGUCUUCGCUGAAGGUAGGCAGAAGCUGUCACAGGAAAGAGGAUGUCCACAGCCCUCAAAUGAGGAGCAGCUCCAAGCGAAAAGACCCAUAGCGGAUAACAAUGCGGACAGAGCUGAUCCCAGCCUAAAACCACUCCACAGUCAACCCAAGGUUUUGCUUGCAACAGUAAAGUCAUGUAACACCGUUGCUGCUGCUGCUGCUGCUGCUGCUGUUGCUGUGUCAGUGAAAACAUAAUUUCACGGCCUGAAUUUCAGGGCAACUGUAGGGGAUGUGCCAAAUGCAGUCCUGGAAUUCUUGAAAAGUUGGGGAAAUACUCUGCGUACAGAUGUGUUUUCCUGCUUCAUAUACUUCCCAUUGCUGAUUGCCAGUCCCUGUCUAUGCACUACUCCUUUAAAUUCCAAGAUGUGGUAAGUUUUAGCGUUCAUCUCCUCCCCCGUUUUAUUUCUACUCUCCUCUGCAACAUUCCUUCAGCUGCCUUUUCCUUAAUUUUCUCUUGUCCCUUUAAGUGAUUCAGAAGGGAGUGCAGCUGAGUGUCAGAUGCGUAGCCCUCAUCUAUUUUCAUUAGGGCUUAGGCAUUAACUGCCCUUUAGUGUUUUGAAAAUCCCCUCAUGAACUGUAACAUAUUAAUAACUUAGUCUCUAUUUGAAAUUAAGGUGGCCACAGCAGUAUUCAAAAAUUCAAAGCUAGUCUUCUUGCUGGCUUGUCUGAUAAUCCUGUUGCAGCCAAUUCUCCUGCUCCUCCAAGGCACUUAAAAUAAUCUGCACGCGGUGUGGCCAAGAGCAAGACUCAUAGUAUGCAUCUCCAGAGACUAGAUGGAGAGAUCCUGGGAGAGGAAGUGGUGACAGCUGGGACAUGAAGCAACUUUUCCUUCACGUGCUCCACCACUGCCCUGUGGAAAGGGUGGGAAGGGGCUUGGAGCAAGGUCAUAGCAGAGCUUGGAAACGUGUGCGUCUGGAGCUCCUCUUCUUUCUGCACUAGGCUUUCUGGAGUACUUAGCAAUUCAAACACCAACACAGACUCAUAUCGCAUAAUCUUACUGUAGCAGCCACAUGUGAACUGCUCACAACUUCAUGCAGUUUGAGAACGAUAUGUUAACCACCUUUCUGUGUUGUAGUCAGUAUCACAGCUGUAGCGCUUAUAAUCAUAGUGCCUCUAAGAAAAAGCCAAUCUGAUAGCCUGUGAAUUCCUACAAAGCCUAAAAUUUCACAGUAACGCUCAGCUCCCCAGUGUCCCCUUUUUCAUGAGCCUCCCCUACUCCUCUCUCCUCAUGUUUUCCAUCCAGCAAACCUGAUUCACACUCUCCUCUAUCCCAUGCAUUUCAGCUUCUUAAUCCGCCUUGAUCCUCACUCCCAAUAAGAGUGACUUCUUUUUUAUUAAUGUUAUCAAAAGGAUGAAUUAAAAUUAAUGUGAGUCUUGUAAUUCAGGUGCAUUGCUGAAGUAAGAAGUCAAGCCAGUCAAAACAGCAAAUGAAACUCGCUCAAAGGCAUAUCACAAGAGCUUUUGAAAGAAAGCAUAGUCUCUUUAAAAAUGCCUGGGGUCCUAGACAGAAGAGAGAAAGGUGCAUGAUCAUGCACGAAGCAGUAAGCAUUCACAGAAGCUAUUUGUGAAGCACGUGAUAUUUUCCAAAUAUUUUAGGCCGGUUGUAUGCUUAAGGUAACCCUUAUCAUGACAUAGCUAUGGUAUUCCUUUGUCAAACCUAUAACUGUGAUCUUCCAGUGAAAAAAAUAAUAGAUUUUAUGUACUCUUAACACUAUUUUUCCUAAAAAUAUCAAUCGCUUUAUUUUUCCUGUAAUUUCAUUAUAUUAAAAGACAAAGAUUGAAGACAGAGGAAGUUUAUGUGAUGUUUCUGAGGUAGUUCAUAAUGCCACAUAACAGAUAGUUACUGAAUUGUUGGUUUCCAGCUCUGAGUCAGAUGAAGAGGUCACUUUUUGAACAAUGAUCAUAAUCUGUUUCCCAUUUGCUUUACUUCUCAUUGCUUUGGAAAUGUUAUUUUUAAGUCUUUAUUUUUGCAGGUCUAAGUAAUAAUUAAAAUUAUAUCUCUUGGCCUUUGAGUUAGGAUUUCCACAGUUACAGCAAGCACUUUUGAAAGGCAUAUUACUUUGUAAGCAUUAUUUCCAAGCAUGAUCAUGUGAAGAAAAAUCAGAAAACCUCUGGCAGAAAACAGCUUUAAAUUCUCAUAGGGCAUAAAAGGCAAGAAAAAACGUUGCUAUGACUGUAUAAGAAAGAAGAGGAAAACAAGGUAUAGAUCGAUUGCUUAUGGUAAGAGAGUAAACAUGCCUAAACACACACACACACAAAAUUUCGACCGGCCACUUGAAAGGAAAUAUUUUUUAACAAGGACAGAAGAGUGUAGGAUACAGCACAGAAAUAGCAGGUUAAAAAACAUUCAGUUAAGUGAGAUGUGCUCUAGCUGGCUGAGCUAGGUGAAAUUUACUCUAGAUUAAGGAACUAGCCAAAAUAAUUUCCCAAAUACUAGCCUUUUAGAACCUGAGGAGGACAAAGGAAGCUCUAGUAAACAGAAAAGGGCAGAUACUUUUAAAGAGGGAGAAGAAGAUGCAAAGCUGCAGAACAUUAUAGACCAGUCAGUCCACAAAGACUCUGGAACAAAUUACUGGACAAUCCUUUUUAAGUGCCUUAAGAUAACAAAGUGAUAAAAACAGGCAACAAGGGUUUGUCAAGAAUAGCUCACUUCAAACCAGUCUAAUUUAUUUUUUUGAUAGGUAGCAGACCUAGCAGAUAAGGGAGAAGCAGAAAACGUAUUAUAUUUUGACUGCAGUACAGUUUUGACAUUGUCCGCACGGCUUUCUCAUAUGGAAGCAGAACCUAAAUAAAAUUGCUAUCCAGCAGAUACA
Struthio camelus australis is the source of this 2915-nucleotide long non-coding RNA. The record is from Ensembl. Lineage: Eukaryota; Metazoa; Chordata; Aves; Struthioniformes; Struthionidae.